GCACAAGCGGUGGAUGAUGUGGUUUAAUUCGAUGCAACGCGAAAACCUUACCCACCUUUGACAUGGCAAGAAUCCUAAAGAGAUUUGGGAGUGCUCGAAAGAGAACCUGCACACAGGUGCUGCAUGGCUGUCGUCAGCUCGUGUCGUGAGAUGUUGGGUUAAGUCCCGCAACGAGCGCAACCCUUGCCAUUAGUUGCUACGAAAGGGCACUCUAAUGGGACUGCCGGUGACAAACCGGAGGAAGGUGGGGAUGACGUCAAGUCCUCAUGGCCCCUAUGGGUAGGGCUUCACACGUCAUACAAUGGUCGGUACAGAGGGUUGCCAACCCGCGAGGGGGAGCUAAUCCCACAAAGCCGAUCGUAGUCCGGAUCGCAGUCUGCAACUCGACUGCGUGAAGUCGGAAUCGCUAGUAAUCGUGGAUCAGCAUGUCACGGUGAAUACGUUCCCGGGUCUU
Molecule: ribosomal RNA, 454 nt
Filed under: uncultured Allobrachymonas sp.
Lineage: Bacteria; Pseudomonadati; Pseudomonadota; Betaproteobacteria; Burkholderiales; Comamonadaceae
Description: bacterial SSU rRNA
Rfam family: Bacterial small subunit ribosomal RNA
Source: RNAcentral